Molecule: non-coding RNA, 1269 nt
Organism: Nicotiana tabacum (common tobacco)
Lineage: Eukaryota; Viridiplantae; Streptophyta; Magnoliopsida; Solanales; Solanaceae
Source: RefSeq, a predicted model, not a curated record
GUUUCAGGAAGUGUGUUCUGAGUUGGAUGAUCUGCAUGGUCUCGUUUUGCUUGUAGAGGUCAGUAUUCUCGGUAGACUCGGAUUUAUGAGCCAUUACUGAGUUAAGAUUGUAGAUAUGUGGCUCAGCGGUACAAGAUUAGAUGAUGUAGGGAGACAGAUUCUUGGGAACCACGAUCUACAGCUUCACCCGUCAGGAUGUGAUUUUGGCAUUUUCAGUCCCUAACUCUUAGUUAUCUAGUCAUCUCAUAUAUGAAAUUGAUGAAAAGAAACAAGAUUGUUUUGAUACUUGAUACAUAUAUGUAUUUUCAAAUGUUAUAGCUAAUUAUUUCUUACCUUUGUAUUUGUCUCUCCACUUUGCUCCCCUUUUUUUUUCUAUGACGGUGGUGUCUGGUCCAACUUGCGCACACCUCGACUAUUCCACCGGGUAUCUGCUACCUCUAAACAGCGCAGGUAUCGGAUAACUCUACCCACCAAGGCUUAGGUAGAUUGGAAGAAAUUACCUAGUAUCCCCGUUAUUUGCAUUAUGUCAAAAGGAUCAAAGGAGUUGCAUGUGUUAUGUUCCCUAAAUGGGAAACUUUAAAGGAAAGUAAUAAAUCCUUCAAAUCUAUGUAAUACAAAACAUAUUAUUUUAUGGUAUGUGCUUGAAUAUUGAACAUUUGCUUUUCCAAUAAAGGACUUGAUAACAUUAUUUAACUUUUGUACCAGGUUUAUCAAACUGGAGCUCCUUUAAUAGGAUGUAUGGGUUAUGAUUCUGACAUAAAAAUCAGGCGACCUCAUAAUUGCAUUGGUCAAGUUAUACGAAUAAUUCGUUCUCUUGACAGGAGGUCCUUUGGAAUUGUAAAACAGUUUGAUGCCAUCGCCAAGAAACAUUUGAUCAUGUUUGAAGAUGGCAGUGUUGAGUACUUUGACCUGUCAAAAGAAGAUUGGGAGUUCUGUAACUUUCUGGUGUAAUCAGGUAAGCCAACUCUUGUAAUUAUUAUAUGUCCGAACUCUUUGUUUCAAGUUCUGCUUCAUUUACUGUUUGAUUAUUGCAGUGGAAAUUUUCCAAAAAAUUGACGAUAUUUUGAUUGCUCCUCUCUAAAAGUGGUGUUCAUGUGAUGUUAGUAAGAGGAAUAUACUAAUUAAGUCACUGAGAGUCAGUCUUGAAGCAUUUACAGGAGUACAAUUGAAGCUGGAAGAAAGUCUUUGAUUUUACUUUGAUUCGUCUCUAUUUAAAGAACGGAAUCCGUUUAAAGAAUAACUAAUCAUAUAAAGUUAAGUUCUAAAGUA